CCUACGGGUGGCAGCAGUGAGGAAUAUUGGUCAAUGGACGCAAGUCUGAACCAGCCAUGCCGCGUGCAGGAAGACGGCUCUAUGAGUUGUAAACUGCUUUUGUACGAGGGUAAACGCAGAUACGCGUAUCUGUCUGAAAGUAUCGUACGAAUAAGGAUCGGCUAACUCCGUGCCAGCAGCCGCGGUAAUACGGAGGAUUCAAGCGUUAUCCGGAUUUAUUGGGUUUAAAGGGUGCGUAGGCGGUAGGAUAAGUUAGAGGUGAAAUCUCGAGGCUCAACUUCGGCAUUGCCUCUGGUACUGUCGGGCUAGAGAGUAGUUGCGGUAGGCGGAAUGUAUGGUGUAGCGGUGAAAUGCUUAGAGAUCAUACAGAACACCGAUUGCGAAGGCAGCUUACUAAGCCACUUCUGACGUUGAGGCACGAAAGCGCGGGGAGCAAACAGGAUUAGAUACCCGUGUAGUC
RNAcentral lists this ribosomal RNA (460 nucleotides) under uncultured bacterium. RNAcentral describes it as "partial 16S ribosomal RNA". It matches the Rfam family "Bacterial small subunit ribosomal RNA", at positions 338 to 795 of the family's 1533-position model. The record is from RNAcentral.